This 21-nucleotide microRNA is filed under the name Homo sapiens (human). RNAcentral's name for it is "hsa-miR-3919". The record is from miRBase by way of RNAcentral. Lineage: Eukaryota; Metazoa; Chordata; Mammalia; Primates; Hominidae.
GCAGAGAACAAAGGACUCAGU